RNAcentral lists this ribosomal RNA (474 nucleotides) under uncultured bacterium. RNAcentral describes it as "bacterial SSU rRNA". It matches the Rfam family "Bacterial small subunit ribosomal RNA", at positions 26 to 518 of the family's 1533-position model. The record is from RNAcentral.
AGGACGAACGCUGGCGGCGUGCCUAACACAUGCAAGUCGAGCGAUGAAACCCUUCGGGGUGGAUUAGCGGCGGACGGGUGAGUAACACGUGGGUAACCUGCCUCAAAGAGGGGGAUAGCCUCCCGAAAGGGAGAUUAAUACCGCAUAACAUUAUUUCUUCGCAUGAAGAGAUAAUCAAAGGAGUAAUCCGCUUUGAGAUGGACCCGCGGCGCAUUAGCUAGUUGGUGAGGUAAUGGCUCACCAAGGCGACGAUGCGUAGCCGACCUGAGAGGGUGAUCGGCCACAUUGGAACUGAGAUACGGUCCAGACUCCUACGGGAGGCAGCAGUGGGGAAUAUUGCGCAAUGGGGGAAACCCUGACGCCAGCAACGCCGCGUGGGUGAAGAAGGCCUUCGGGUUGUAAAGCUCUGUCUUCUGGGACGAUAAUGACGGUACCAGAGGAGGAAGCCACGGCUAACUACGUGCCAGCCGCUGC